This 403-nucleotide ribosomal RNA is filed under the name Fusobacteriota bacterium. RNAcentral describes it as "Fusobacteria bacterium partial 16S ribosomal RNA". It matches the Rfam family "Bacterial small subunit ribosomal RNA", at positions 355 to 776 of the family's 1533-position model. Lineage: Bacteria; Fusobacteriati; Fusobacteriota. The record is from RNAcentral.
UGGGGAAUAUUGCACAAUGGAGGGAACUCUGAUGCAGCGACGCCGCGUGAACGAAGAAGGCUUUCGAGUCGUAAAGUUCUUUUAUAUGGGAAGAUAAUGACGGUACUAUAAGAAAAAGCCCCGGCUAACUACGUGCCAGCAGCCGCGGUAAUACGUAGGGGGCUAGCGUUGUCCGGAAUCACUGGGCGUAAAGGGUUCGCAGGCGGAAAUGCAAGUCAGGUGUAAAAGGCAGUAGCUUAACUACUGUAAGCAUUUGAAACUGCAUAUCUUGAGAAGAGUAGAGGUAAGUGGAAUUUUUAGUGUAGCGGUGAAAUGCGUAGAUAUUAAAAAGAAUACCGGUGGCGAAGGCGACUUGCUGGGCUCAUUCUGACGCUGAGGAACGAAAGCGUGGGUAGCAAACAGG